AGUCGAGCGGACGGAUGGGAGCUUGCUCCCUGAUGUAAGCGGGGAGGGGUGAGAAUCACGUGGGUGACCUGCCUGUAUGACUGGGAUAACUCCCGGAAACCGGGGCUAAUACCGGAUGCUUGAUUGAACCGCAAGGUUCAAUUAUUUAAGGUGGCUUUUCGCUACAACUUACCGAAUGACCCGCGGCGCAAUAUCUAGUUGGUGAGGUAACGGCUCACCAAGGCUACCAUGCCUAACCCACCUGAAAGGGUGAUCGGCCACACUGGGACUGAAACCCGGCCCAAACUCCUACGGGAGGCAACAUUAAGGAAUCUUCCCCAAUGGACAAAAGUCUGACGGAACAACCCCCCGUGAAUGAUGAAGGUUUUCGGAUUUUAAAACUCUUUUGUUAGGGAAAAACAAAAUCCGUUCGAAUAGGGCGGUACCUUGACGGUACCUAACCAAAAAGCCCCGGCUAACUACCUGCCAGCAUACCGCGGUAAUACCUAGGUGGCAAGCGUUGUCCGGAAUUAUUGGGCGUAAAGCGCCCGCAGGGGGUUUCUUAAAUUUGAUGUGAAAGCCCCCGGCUCAACCGGGGAGGGUCAUUGGAAACUGGGGAACUUGAGUGCAGAAAAGGACAGUGGGAAUUCCACGUGUGCGGUGAAAUGCGGAAAGAUGUGGAGGAACACCGCGGGCCAAUGGACACUCUCUGGUCUGUCACUGACGAUGAGGGGCGAGCAAGUGGGGAGCGAUCCGGAGUAGAUACCCUGGGAAUCCACUCCCUAUACGAUGAGUGCUAACUGGUAAGAGGGUUUCCCCCCUUUAAUGCUUCAAAAACGCAUCAAGCACUCCACCCUGGGGAGUACGGACGCUCAGACUGAAACUCAAGGAAUUGACGGGGGCCGCAGCAUGCGGUGUAGCAUCGGUGCUUAAUUCGAACCACCGCC
Molecule: ribosomal RNA, 926 nt
Filed under: Bacillus haynesii
Lineage: Bacteria; Bacillati; Bacillota; Bacilli; Caryophanales; Bacillaceae
Description: bacterial SSU rRNA
Rfam family: Bacterial small subunit ribosomal RNA
Source: RNAcentral